GGGUAGAGUCUCUGAGAAUCUCAAAUGGUCUUUAUUAACCUCUGGGCGCUAUGACUAGAAGAGUAAUUAGGAGACUUCCUACAACAACUUCAAUUUUAAAUGAGCAAAACGACCUGUAAACCAGCGAAAGAGCGUCUAAAAACGUUGAAAAGUUGAUUUUCAACUUUAUAAAAUUAUCCUGUAAGGUCACAACUUGUGACAGGAGGAUUAAACAGGUGUAACUAAGAAGACGAAUGUUGCUAAGCAAUCUAAUUGGUUCUGAAGCUUGUAUUUUUUUUUCCUACUGUUUGCUUUGAAAGGUACAACUCCUGCAGAAAGGGAAGCACAGUAAGAGAACCCCCAAGUGAGGUUCCAUUCAGAUUGAGACAAUGAAUUCUCUCAUAUUCUUAUGUUACAGAAAAUUUGUUUUAAAAUGUGUCAAAAAUUGUUCCGUGUUUGCAAGUGUGCCUCUCACUUGAUUUACACUCUCAUUCUUGUUUACUACUUUUUUGUGGUGGUCGUUGAUGAUUUUAAUCCUUCAAUAUUACCAGUUUAUCAACUUAAAAGUUAAUAGCAGUGUGCUGAUAACACAAUAUUGUCAUAGUAAGAAUUUGUCAAGCUCUACACUUAUGAUUUGUGCUUUGUACAUAUCAUAUAAUUCAAUAAAUUUAAAUAGUAAAGGUAAUGAGAGAAAAGAAAAACGAUGAUAGUUUGAAAUUGACUUUUAUUAAUCUACUCUGAAGUUUUUAGGAUUUAAUUUUUAGACUAUAGCAAAGAGAUGCAAAUAACUGCAUUCCAUUGUUUCUUUUACUGUUAUCUUUAAACAGCAAAAGGAUUACACUAAUUGGAUGUUCUGGAUAUUCAAAUCUCAAAACAUUCUAAAACACACUGGGUAAAACAACAACACUGGGUAAAACAUAAGAAUUUUUUUUUUUUUUUUUUUUUUUUUUUUUGCUUUUUUGUCUCUUCUUAGGGAUGCCCUCAUGGCAUAUGGAGGUUCCCAGGCUAGGGGACUAAUUGAAGCUGUUGCCGCCAGCCUACGCCACAGCCACAGCCACGCCGGAUCUGAGCUCCACUGCGACCUAGACCACAGCUCACGGCAACGCUGGAUCCUUAACCCACUGAGCGAGGCCAGGUAUCGAAUCCUCAUCCUCAUGGUUCCUAGUUGGAUUUGUUUCCGCUGUACCAUGAUGGGAACUCCAACAUUAGAGUUUAGAGCUCCUAUAAUCAUUUUUCAAAAUAUAACAUUUUUAAAUUAUUGUUCCACUUUUCCAACAGUGUUCUUUUCCACAAUUGCAUACAAUAAAUUUUAUUUGUUAUACAGUAAAUUUUAAACAACAAUGAAAAAUAAAUCUGUGUUAAAGACUAACUGGGUUUUACAGUUUACAUUUUGAGAUGAUAUAUUCAAAGAAGUUCUACUGUCUGUCUCUUUUCAGUACUAUAGUAAAAGAAUCCUGUGCCUGUUUUCUUUACAGCCAGCUUAGGCCCACGCUGCCUCAUUUUCUGUUUGUAUGCAAUGAUCUGUCUCUAUUUCAUAUAAUAUUGCUAACCACAAAGUGUUUCAAAAGGUAUAAGUAGAAGUGAGUUUUAGGAUUAGCAGUAUAAGUAACUUAAGUCCCAGAGAGUAUCAGUAUGAGAAAAUGUACUAAUUUGUAUCUCUCUCUCCCGUUUUUCAGGGUAAUUGAUCCCUGCAGUGAUAAUAGUGAUGUCUGGGCAGAAGUAGACAAAAGUCAAAACUCUGUUGUUGAUACAGAUAUCCAGAUGUAGCUAAUAAUAAUCAUAGCUUAUUUAGAUGUGGAAUGCAUUAUUAUGCAUUCUUUCAAAAAAUAUUUUAUUCUUAUUUAGGAAAACAGUAACUAUGUGUUAAGCCAGAUUCUUCAAUGUAUCAGUCAAGGAGUGGCUGAGCCCAUUUAAGUCCAUGUGCACACCAUUUUAGCAAAAUACCAAGAAACAAGAAGUUCUGAUUGUGAAGAUGUAAUCAACCUGAUAAACACUGGGGUAGGAACUGAAACUAUGGAGAAACAGUAAAACACUAAUUAAGACCACUUCAAACCUUUAAUUAACUGAAAUUAGGACUUUCAACUUCAUUUUUUAAAAAUGUUUUUGUCUAGUAUGCAAUCUGUCCUUUAAUUUUUCAUUCAUGUGGAAUUUUAUAUGUUCAAUUUCUAUUCUUUUGGUGUUACCCUGGAAAUUUUACCAUGCAUAUUUAGUAGAACAAAGCUUUAAAUUAAAUAAUAUCUUAAACCCCCUAAUCAGACAAUCUGAGGACCUUAGAACACUUUAAGUCUGGUCACACCUCUGCAGACUAUUAUUUUACAGAGAUGUUUACACACAUGUAUUUAUACAUUUCCUAUUUUACUCACCAUUUCAUAUCUCAGACCAUCAUUCUAUGAUCAUUUUUUUCUUGCUAAAGUAAAUAUUUAGAAGUUCUUUUAGUGGAGGUCUUUUGAUGGCAAACUUGCUGGUUUUAUCUAAAAAUGUCUUUAUAUUACUUUCACUUAAAAAAAAAUAGAUUGGAUUUACAGUGUAAGACCGACACCUUGAAGAUAUUAUUUCAUUCAUUCUGAUUUUCAUCAUUGCUCCUGUGCCUUUAUGGAUGGUCUGUGCUUUUUCUCUGGGUACUUUGAAAUCUUUUGUACUUGCUGUCUUACAGUUCCACUCUGAUGUAUCUACACCUGGGUGUCUUUAAUUCUACUUGGAAAAAUAGAUUUAUAUUUAUGAUCACUUCUAGAAAAUUCUCAAUUAUCUCUGCAAUGAUUCCUUUCCUCUGUUCUCACUACUCUCUUCUUUUAGGAUUCAGAAUAAAUGUUUCUUUUGCCUCUUCUAUUCUUCACGUGUCUAAGCUUGUUUCAUGUUUUUCAACUUCUUACCGCUCUGCUGCAUCCUGGGCAAUUUCUUCAGUCAAAUGUUCUAGUUCACUUUUUUUUUUCUUUCAUUUUUUUUAAAGUUUUAUUGAAGUACAGUUUAUUUACAAUGUUGUGAUAAUUUCUACUGUACAACAGACUGAUUCAGUUAUGCGUGUACACACAUCCAUUCUCUUUCAGAUUUUCCCACACAGAUUUUCACAGAAUAUUGGAUAGAGUUGUCUGUGCUAUACGGCAGGUCCACACUGGCUAAUCAUUCCAUAUAUCUCAGUGUGCAUAUGCCAGUCCCACACCCCCAGUCCAUCCUUCCCCCAACCUGUCCUCUUUGAUAACCAUAAGUUUUUCAAAGUCAAUGAGUCUGUUUCUGUUCUGCAAAUAAUUUCAUUUGUAUCCAUCGCUAGAUUCCACAUAAGUGAUAUCAUAUGAUGUUUGUCUUUCACUACCAGUUCACUCUUUGACUAUGUUUCACCUGUUGUUAAACCCCACACUGAGGUUUUUUUUUUCAAAUUUCAAAAAAUCUAUUUUUAGAAAGUCCAUUUUAUUAUUACACAGAUCUUUCUCAUUAUUCCUAAUAGUCUUAUUGCUUGCCCAUCUUUGUGGUUCCAUUCUUUCUUUAGAUAUGUAUAACCUAGCUAAUCUAUACUUUGUUACAAUUCCAAUAUCUACAUAAGUUGUGUAUUAUUUUUUUUAAUCUUUCUUACCCAUGGUGGCUUGCCCCCUUGUGCACUUGGUGAUCUUAGAUUGUGAAUUUAUAUUUCCUUACUACACCACAGCUCACGGCAACGCCGGAUCGUUAACCCACUGAGCAAGGGCAGGGACUGAACCCGCAACCUCAUGGUUCCUAGUCGGAUUCGUUAACCACUGCGCCACGAUGGGAACUCCGGACUCUUCCUUUCAAAGAUGAUUUGCAUGUGCUUCUGCUGUGUGCCCAGGAGUGCUACUAAUCUGGGGCCUCUUUAACCCAUUCUAUGGCAUCCCCUAAAUGCAGGAGUACCAAAUUCACCUCCUCAUGCAGAGUUAUUGGCAUUUGCACUCAGACCAACUUCAUCUCUCUAGCUUGCAUAAUGAACCAUGUUCUGAUUUCUGCUCAACUCUUAUUUCUCUUUAUUUGAUGGGAAGAGGGUCUUUGAAGAUUUUUCUGAGAGCCAAGUAAAACAAAAAAACAAAAAAUGUUUUUGAUCCAAAUAUAGUUGUUUGGCAACAGGAUGAUUCCCCCUUGCCCCACACAUCUAGUCCACCAUGAUGCCAGAAGCAGAAAUCAUACACACAAUUUUGCAUCUUUUGCAGUGGGGGUCUUUUUGGGGCCGCAUGCACAGCAUAUGGAGGUUCCCAGGCUAGAGGUCGAAUCGGAGCUGCAGUUGCUGGCCCCAGCCUCAGCCACACCAGAUCCAAGCCAAGUCUGCAAACUGCACUACAGCUCACGGCAAUGCCAGAUCCUUAACCCAUUCAGCGAGGCCAGGGAUUGAGCCCUCGUCCUCAUGGAUACUAGUUGGGUUCAUUAACUGCUGAGCCACUACAGGAACUCCAACAUCUUUUGUGUUUCAUUCAAUAAACAUGAAUUGAACAGAGGUUUCAGAUGUGGGUACUGAUUGGUGCUCUUUACUAAGACAAGGAACUUGGGGAGAUGAGUAGCACCAAAGAGGGAGAUGUUAAGUUUAGUUGACUUUUCUAUGGUUGUGAGGCAUCUAGUGAAAAUGUUGUAUGGUAGUUAGAUAUGCAGCUCUGUAGUUCAGAAGAGAUAGCCAGACUCGAGAUAGCCAGACUCAAGGUAGCAUUUCAAAAAUAAGUAGAGGAAGAGAGAAUUUCACAAUGCAAACACAAAGAAAACAGAAUGAGUGGCCAGAGAAGUCAGGCGGAAAAUCAGGAGCCAUUAGAUCAUAAACGCACAAGGAAGAGAGUUUCUCCAAAUGCUAGGAAUGAUAAAGAGUAGCACAUAAUGCUGAGAAGUCAAGAAGAUUGAAAGGUGUUCAUUGGAUUUGCAACACAGAGGCUGCUUUAGAAACUGGAAAACAGAUUUAAGGUGGGUAUUGGGGAAAUAAACCAUCUUGCAAUAGGUAAAGGAAAAAAUAGAAGGCAAGGGGGCUGAGACUUCCUUCAUUCAAGCCUUUUGGCAGUGAAGAGUAGAGAAAACAUCCAAAGAGAAUAUAUGGGUAAAUUUGUUGUUUUAGUUGAGAGUCUUGAAUGAUUAUAUGCUGAUAGGAUGGCACUAGUAGAGAAACAAUCUUAAAGAUACAGGAGAGAAGGAAGAUUAAGUAAUAAUACUUCAGGGCUCUGAAACAGAAGGAAAAAAAAACAAAAAACUCAGGGGUCCAAAGUACUGUUAGAUAGAAUUGGCCUUAAACAAAAGAUGGGACUCCUUCAUUGUAACAGCAAUAUAUAAAUCGUAGUUUUUUAUCUUCUUACUGCAGUGCAGGAUACAUACAGAAAAGAGAACCAAUCAUAAAUAUAUACC
Molecule: long non-coding RNA, 5295 nt
Filed under: Sus scrofa (pig)
Lineage: Eukaryota; Metazoa; Chordata; Mammalia; Artiodactyla; Suidae
Description: lncRNA (ENSSSCG00040071940.1)
Source: RNAcentral